UACGUAGGGGUGCGAGCGUUGUCCGGAAUUACUGGGCGUAAAGAGCUCGUAGGUGGUUUGUCGCGUUGUCCCGUGAAAACUCACAACUCAAUUGUGGGCGUGCGGGCGAUACGGGCAGACUGGAGUACUGCAGGGGGAGACUGGAAUUCCUGGUGUAGCGGUGGAAUGCGCAGAUAUCAGGAGGAACACCGGUGGCGAAGGCGGUUCUCUGGGCAUGGACCUGACGCUGAGGAGCGAAAGCAUGGGGAGCGAACAGG
RNAcentral lists this ribosomal RNA (257 nucleotides) under uncultured bacterium. RNAcentral describes it as "partial 16S ribosomal RNA". It matches the Rfam family "Bacterial small subunit ribosomal RNA", at positions 524 to 776 of the family's 1533-position model. The record is from RNAcentral.